This 114-nucleotide ribosomal RNA is filed under the name Acanthosepion pharaonis. The record is from RNAcentral. Lineage: Eukaryota; Metazoa; Mollusca; Cephalopoda; Sepiida; Sepiidae.
UUACGGUCAAAUCACGCUGAAACACCGGUUCUCGUUCGAUCACCGAAGUUAAGCAUCUUAGAGCCAGGUCAGUACUUAGAUGGGGGACCGCUUGGGAACACCUGGUACUGUAAG